RNAcentral lists this ribosomal RNA (253 nucleotides) under uncultured bacterium. RNAcentral's name for it is "partial 16S ribosomal RNA". It matches the Rfam family "Bacterial small subunit ribosomal RNA", at positions 524 to 776 of the family's 1533-position model. The record is from RNAcentral.
UACGUAGGGGGCUAGCGUUGUCCGGAAUUAUUGGGCGUAAAGAGCGCGUAGGCGGCCAGACAAGUCCGGUGUGAAAUCUCGGGGCUUAACUCCGAAACUGCAUUCGAUACUACCGUGCUUGAGGACUGGAGAGGAGACUGGAAUUUACGGUGUAGCGGUGAAAUGCGUAGAUAUCGUAAGGAAGACCAGUGGCGAAGGCGGGUCUCUGGACAGUUCCUGACGCUGAGGCACGAAGGCCAGGGGAGCAAACGGG